UCUAGCCACGAUUUCCGGUUCCCGCCAUUUCGCGCCGGCGUCGUGGGUGUGUGGAUGCAACGUAGUGCUCCCGGUUUUAUUUUGUUUAAGCGACCUUUUCUGAAGUGUCAACCAAGGAUCAAACACUGGUCGUUGCGGGGAUCGGCUUCAGAGGGCCAAGGAAUGUCUUGAAUCGCUGUUCAGUCGACAGGCAACUGUAUGACAACGCCAUCCCUGUCAACCAGAGCGUCGACCGAAGUAGGGUGGCGUUGCGCGGACCUGGCCGCACCCGACCAACCGGCGGAGUACCUGACUCGGGCUGGGCGGAGACUACCUACAUCACGACCUUUUGAACUUUGAUCUCGUGGCGAGAAACAAUAUGACUUAAGGAAGUGUGUAUGUGGCUGGCGGGGCCGAGGGUGAAAUGCGCCACGUGUUUAUCCUGCCGGAUGACGACAGUGUCACCAACCUGUCAAAGAACGAGCUGGUGCAGCGCGUGAUGACUGCUAUCUCGUCCCUAGAACCGGAGUAGAAAAACGUGCGCAUAGCCCAGAUGAAGCGAACCAAAACACAGACAGGACUGAUAGCGUUUCGGUCGAGAAUGUUCUGAAGAUGCUGAUCAGUAGACCAAUUGGUGACCGUUUUCGGUGGUAAUAUGGGAUCUUGGGGACUGGGGUGUUCCAAAGCGACCUGCUUUGGGUGUGGACAUAAGUGGCUCAACCUGACAGGAUUGAUGUUUUAGGUAGCCGUGCUAAUCAUAAACCCUAUAUUGAGUGUAUCUGUACAAAUUUUGUUUAUAUUUAUUUCAUGUAUUUGAUUCGAAACCGAAAAUUGCUCUUUGUAAUUAGGCAACAUCGAGACGUUGAGGUCAUUCUCCAGACGUUUAUUUGUUUUUUUCUUACCUGUCCACGGUAUGUCUUAUUGGUUAGGUCUCAGUUUCAAAUAUUAUUAACUGCAUGUUUUGCAAAUACGUAGCUAUAUUGAAUUAGAGACGUGUCCUAAAAGUGAGUAUUGCUUUGCAUGGGGUGUGAGCGUCAACGACAAGGCUUUGUGAUGGUAAAUGUGUGGCAAUUGCAGGGAUCGUUGUGAAAUGUGUUAUGAAUAUCAUCGUAUUAUUUGCGAAUGCAAAUACAUCCGUGUAUCAUAUUUUCA
Molecule: long non-coding RNA, 1131 nt
Filed under: Amphibalanus amphitrite
Lineage: Eukaryota; Metazoa; Arthropoda; Thecostraca; Balanomorpha; Balanidae
Description: uncharacterized LOC122388375
Source: RNAcentral